AUACGUAGGGGGCAAGCGUUGUCCGGAAUUACUGGGCGUAAAGGGUGCGUAGGCGGUUUAAUAAGUUAGAUGUGAAGUCCCCGGGCUUAACUUGGGAGUGGCAUUUAAAACUGUUGAACUAGAGUGCAGGAGAGGAAAGCGGAAUUCCUAGUGUAGCGGUGAAAUGCGUAGAUAUUAGGAGGAACACCAGUGGCGAAGGCGGCUUUCUGGACUGUAACUGACGCUGAGGCACGAAAGCGUGGGGAGC
This 247-nucleotide ribosomal RNA is filed under the name uncultured bacterium. Its description in RNAcentral is "partial 16S ribosomal RNA". It matches the Rfam family "Bacterial small subunit ribosomal RNA", at positions 523 to 769 of the family's 1533-position model. The record is from RNAcentral.